GACGAACGCUGGCGGCGUGCCUAAUACAUGCAAGUAGAACGCACAGUUUAUACCGUAGCUUGCUACACCAUAGACUGUGAGUUGCGAACGGGUGAGUAACGCGUAGGUAACCUGCCUGGUAGCGGGGGAUAACUAUUGGAAACGAUAGCUAAUACCGCAUAAUAUUAAUUAUUGCAUGAUAAUUAAUUGAAAGGUGCAAUUGCACCACUACCAGAUGGACCUGCGUUGUAUUAGCUAGUAGGUGAGGUAACGGCUCACCUAGGCGACGAUACAUAGCCGACCUGAGAGGGUGAUCGGCCACACUGGGACUGAGACACGGCCCAGACUCCUACGGGAGGCAGCAGUAGGGAAUCUUCGGCAAUGGACGAAAGUCUGACCGAGCAACGCCGCGUGAGUGAAGAAGGGUUUCGGACCGUAAAGCUCUGUUGUAAGAGAAGAACGGGUGUGAGAGUGGAAAGUUCACACUGUGACGGUAUCUUACCAGAAAGGGACGGCUAACUACGUG
RNAcentral lists this ribosomal RNA (505 nucleotides) under uncultured bacterium. RNAcentral describes it as "partial 16S ribosomal RNA". It matches the Rfam family "Bacterial small subunit ribosomal RNA", at positions 28 to 507 of the family's 1533-position model. The record is from RNAcentral.